This 251-nucleotide ribosomal RNA is filed under the name uncultured bacterium. RNAcentral describes it as "partial 16S ribosomal RNA". It matches the Rfam family "Bacterial small subunit ribosomal RNA", at positions 81 to 334 of the family's 1533-position model. The record is from RNAcentral.
UUUUAGUAUGGCGACCGGCGCACGGGUGAGUAACACUAUCCAACCUGCCGAUGACUCGGGGAUAGCCUUUCGAAAGAAAGAUUAAUACCCGAUGGCAUAGUUCUUCCGCAUGGUAGAACUAUUAAAGAAUUUCGGUCAUCGAUGGGGAUGCGUUCCAUUAGGUUGUUGGCGGGGUAACGGCCCACCAAGCCUUCGAUGGAUAGGGGUUCUGAGAGGAAGGUCCCCCACAUUGGAACUGAGACACGGUCCAA